This 856-nucleotide ribosomal RNA is filed under the name uncultured bacterium. RNAcentral describes it as "bacterial SSU rRNA". It matches the Rfam family "Bacterial small subunit ribosomal RNA", at positions 58 to 916 of the family's 1533-position model. The record is from RNAcentral.
CAAGUCGAGGGGUAUAGGAAGCUUGCUUCCUUGAGACCGGCGCACGGGUGCGUAACGCGUAUGCAACCUACCUUUUACAGAGGGAUAGCCCAGAGAAAUUUGGAUUAAUACCUCAUGGUAUAUAUCAUUCGCAUGUUUGAUAUAUUAAGGUUCCAACGGUAAAAGAUGGGCAUGCGUCCUAUUAGCUAGAUGGUAAGGUAACGGCUUACCAUGGCAACGAUAGGUAGGGGUCCUGAGAGGGAGAUCCCCCACACUGGUACUGAGACACGGACCAGACUCCUACGGGAGGCAGCAGUGAGGAAUAUUGGACAAUGGGCGCAAGCCUGAUCCAGCCAUGCCGCGUGCAGGAAGAAGCAUCUAUGGUGUGUAAACUGCUUUUGUAUGGGAAGAAACACUCCUUCGUGAAGGAGCUUGACGGUACCGUAAGAAUAAGGAUCGGCUAACUCCGUGCCAGCAGCCGCGGUAAUACGGAGGAUCCAAGCGUUAUCCGGAAUCAUUGGGUUUAAAGGGUCCGUAGGCGGUUUGGUAAGUCAGAGGUGAAAGCCCAUCGCUCAACGAUGGAACUGCCUUUGAUACUAUAGAUCUUGAGUGCGGUUGACGUUGGCGGAAUGUGCAGUGUAGCGGUGAAAUGCUUAGAUAUUGCACAGAACACCUAUUGCGAAGGCAGCUAACGAAGCCGUAACUGACGCUGAUGCACGAAAGCGUGGGGAGCAAACAGGAUUAGAUACCCUGGUAGUCCACGCCCUAAACGUUGAAUACUCGAUGUUGGCGAUAUACAGUCAGCGUCCAAGCGAAAGCGUUAAGUAUUCCACCUGGGGAGUACGCCGGCAACGGUGAAACUCAAAGGAAUUGACGG